GUUCUGACUGAUCAUCGGAACAUUUACAAGAAAUGUACAAUGUGUAUGAAAUAAUCUGUCUGGACAGGGGUUCGACUCCCCUCACGUCCACUGGGCAUCCUCUACGCUAUUGUGUAGAUUCCAUUUGAACAACCUAGGCAUGUUGUAAAACUGCCUACACGGGCGUGUUUGGUUUUGACAGACAGAGGAGAUAAAUACAUUAAGCACUAUACUAUAAAUUAAACGACAAUGUAAAUAACAUUGUAGACUAUACUAACGUAGCGUAAGUUUAGUCUAGGUGUUUCCUACCAAAGUGGAGAGAAGAAGAAGUUGGUUCUUUGGGCUACACACCCGAGGAUUAGGGUUCGACUCCCUAGC
This 357-nucleotide non-coding RNA is filed under the name uncultured phage cr7_1. Lineage: Duplodnaviria; Heunggongvirae; Uroviricota; Caudoviricetes; Crassvirales; Darmviridae. The record is from RNAcentral.